Molecule: long non-coding RNA, 1083 nt
Filed under: Helianthus annuus (common sunflower)
Lineage: Eukaryota; Viridiplantae; Streptophyta; Magnoliopsida; Asterales; Asteraceae
Description: hypothetical non coding rna
Source: RNAcentral
UCUGUUUUGUCCACAGGUAACCCCUGUCUACCCCAGUCUAUUUCCGAUCUCUCGCUUUACGCAUUUUAUGUCAACCAAUUCGAUUUAAGGGUUUGAAUAAUCUCACAUGUAUUUUUUUUCUAACACCUUACGCUCACCAAUUAAGUUUAGAGUUUGAAGGUUCAGUUUAGAAGGUUCUGUGAAGAAAGAAUGUGAUAUAAUGGAUCAGAAGCCUAAGUUAGUUAAGUUGAUUACGUCGGUGCCACUUACGGGUUAGGUUUAAGUAAGAAGGAACAGAGAGUUGUGGAGGAUAGGAAGGUGAGUUUAGCAAGGAUAGAGACCGGGAAUUUUGAAGAGAAGGCUGAUUGGUUGUUGCUUGGAUGGACUGCGAUUAUUAGGUUAUCAACUAUAAAAGUGCCGAAACUUGAAGAUAAUGAGAUUGUCCACUAGAUGGGUCUCAUUUUCAAUUUUUUUGAGGGCCCAAACAUAAGGAAUGCAUAAACCAAACAACAACUUUCAAGUAAUCAUACCCAUGUCUACAAGCCCGAUUUUUCCUAGGUUGUUUUUCUAUGAAUAUGGCUUAAUUGAUGCAAUUUGAACAUACAGGAAGCGGUUCUUAUAAAUGCAGCAGAGGACCCCUGGUUGACUAAGAGGCUCUUGUGGAGCAUUUGAAGCAUAAUGAUUUUAUCUUUACUUUUGAAACACUUGUAGAGAUAGUGUUCGAUUUUACUUUUUGUUGGUUAUUAUAAAGCUGCUUUGAUGAUUAUAAACUUUUGCAUUGUGUAUGUCGAGAUGACAUUCGAUCAUGUCAGCAAAGAGAAAAAGGAAAAUAUCACACCAACUAAGAUAUAGCUAACAUCUCAAAGCUUCCUUCUCAACUCCAAGAUAUAAUUUUGAGAAUGGUCCUAAAGGUGAUUAGAGAAUGUCACUGAAGUCAAAGUAGAGAGUUGACUUUCUAAAUCCUGGUUGUGGCUAACGCAGACUCGCGUAGGAAUCUGGUUUAUCUGAGUUGCCCUCGGUACAGGUUUGGAUAUCUAUUUCCUAUGGAUUUUUUUUUUGUUUUUGGACGACUAACUGCUUUCCACGUGUAAACUCACCCUUUCG